UACGAAGGGGGCUAGCGUUGUUCGGAAUUACUGGGCGUAAAGGGCUCGUAGGCGGCCAACUAAGUCAGACGUGAAAUCCCUCGGCUUAACCGGGGAACUGCGUCUGAUACUGGAUGGCUUGAGAUUGGGAGAGGGAUGCGGAAUUCCAGGUGUAGCGGUGAAAUGCGUAGAUAUCUGGAGGAACACCGGUGGCGAAGGCGGCAUCCUGGACCAACACUGACACUGAGGAGCGAAAGCCAGGGGAGCAAACGGG
This 253-nucleotide ribosomal RNA is filed under the name uncultured bacterium. RNAcentral's name for it is "partial 16S ribosomal RNA". It matches the Rfam family "Bacterial small subunit ribosomal RNA", at positions 524 to 776 of the family's 1533-position model. The record is from RNAcentral.